RNAcentral lists this ribosomal RNA (115 nucleotides) under Desulfotomaculum copahuensis. The record is from RNAcentral. Lineage: Bacteria; Bacillati; Bacillota; Clostridia; Eubacteriales; Desulfotomaculaceae.
UGCAGUGGCCAUGCCGGAGGGGACACACCCGUUCCCAUCCCGAACACGGCAGUUAAGCCCUCCAGGGCCGAUGGUACUUGGGGAUCACCCCCGGGAGAGUAGGUCGCCGCUGCAA